GGACAUAUGGCCGAGUGGUCUAAGGCGCUGUGUUUAGGUUGUUUCGACAACGCAAUCCGCAGUCUUCGGGCGUGGGUUCAAAUCCCACUGUGUUCA
Molecule: transfer RNA, 96 nt
Filed under: Cronartium quercuum f. sp. fusiforme G11
Lineage: Eukaryota; Fungi; Basidiomycota; Pucciniomycetes; Pucciniales; Coleosporiaceae
Rfam family: tRNA
About the family: Transfer RNA (tRNA) molecules are approximately 80 nucleotides in length. Their secondary structure includes four short double-helical elements and three loops (D, anti-codon, and T loops). Further hydrogen bonds mediate the characteristic L-shaped molecular structure. tRNAs have two regions of fundamental functional importance: the anti-codon, which is responsible for specific mRNA codon recognition, and the 3' end, to which the tRNAs corresponding amino acid is attached (by aminoacyl-tRNA synthetases). tRNAs cope with the degeneracy of the genetic code in two manners: having more than one tRNA (with a specific anti-codon) for a particular amino acid; and 'wobble' base-pairing, i.e. permitting non-standard base-pairing at the 3rd anti-codon position.
Source: Rfam by way of RNAcentral